Molecule: ribosomal RNA, 376 nt
Filed under: uncultured bacterium
Lineage: Bacteria
Description: bacterial SSU rRNA
Rfam family: Bacterial small subunit ribosomal RNA
Source: RNAcentral
UACGUAGGGAGCAAGCGUUGUUCGGAUUUACUGGGCGUAAAGGGCGCGUAGGCGGCGCGGUAAGUCACUUGUGAAAUCUCUGAGCUUAACUCAGAACGGCCAAGUGAUACUGCUGUGCUAGAGUGCGGAAGAGGCAACCGGAAUUCUUGGUGUAGCGGUGAAAUGCGUAGAUAUCAAGAGGAACACCUGAGGCGAAGGCGGGUUGCUGGGCCGACACUGACGCUGAUGCGCGAAAGCCAGGGGAGCAAACGGGAUUAGAUACCCCGGUAGUCCUGGCCCUAAACGAUGAAUACUUGGUGUCUGGAGUUUCAAUGCUCCGGGUGCCGUCGCUAACGUUUUAAGUAUUCCGCCUGGGGAGUACGCUCGCAAGAGUGAA